CAGUCGCCGCGGUAAUACGUAGGUGGCAAGCGUUGUCCGGAAUUAUUGGGCGUAAAGGGCUCGCAGGCGGUUUCUUAAGUCUGAUGUGAAAGCCCCCGGCUCAACCGGGGAGGGUCAUUGGAAACUGGGAAACUUGAGUGCAGAAGAGGAGAGUGGAAUUCCACGUGUAGCGGUGAAAUGCGUAGAGAUGUGGAGGAACACCAGUGGCGAAGGCGACUCUCUGGUCUGUAACUGACGCUGAGGAGCGAAAGCGUGGGGAGCGGACAGGAUUAGAUACCCCUGUAGUCCCUGUCUCUUAUAC
This 301-nucleotide ribosomal RNA is filed under the name uncultured bacterium. Its description in RNAcentral is "partial 16S ribosomal RNA". It matches the Rfam family "Bacterial small subunit ribosomal RNA", at positions 509 to 807 of the family's 1533-position model. The record is from RNAcentral.